Molecule: ribosomal RNA, 536 nt
Filed under: Strongyloides stercoralis
Lineage: Eukaryota; Metazoa; Nematoda; Chromadorea; Rhabditida; Strongyloididae
Description: SSU rRNA
Rfam family: Eukaryotic small subunit ribosomal RNA
Source: RNAcentral
AAUGUUUUCAUUAAUCAAGAACGAAAGUUAGAGGUUCGAAGGCGAUCAGAUACCGCCCUAGUUCUAACCGUAAACUAUGCCUACAGAUGUAUGAAUUAUUAGUUAUAAUAAUUUAUGCAUCUUCUCGGAAACGAAAGUCUUUCGGUUCCGGGGGAAGUAUGGUUGCAAAGCUGAAACUUAAAGGAAUUGACGGAAGGGCACCACCAGGAGUGGAGCCUGCGGCUUAAUUUGACUCAACACGGGAAAACUCACCCGGGCCGGACACUAUAAGGAUUGACAGAUUGAUAGCUCUUUCAUGAUUUAGUGGUUGGUGGUGCAUGGCCGUUCUUAGUUCGUGGAUAUGAUUUGUCUGGUUGAUUCCGAUAACGAGCGAGACUUUUAUGUUAUAUUAAAUAUUAUUAUUUUGUUUAUUUUAAUAUAAAUAAUUAAUAUUUUAAUAACAGAUUAAUAGUGUUUAACUAUUUGAGAGAGAGCGAUAACAGGUCUGUGAUGCCCUUAGAUGUCCGGGGCUGCACGCGCGCUACAAUGUAGUGAUC